Molecule: ribosomal RNA, 405 nt
Filed under: uncultured bacterium
Lineage: Bacteria
Description: partial 16S ribosomal RNA
Rfam family: Bacterial small subunit ribosomal RNA
Source: RNAcentral
GAUGAACGCUGGCGGCGUGCCUAAUACAUGCAAGUCGAGCGAAGCGGGGACGGGUGAGUAACACGUGGAUAACCUCCUAUAAGACUGGGAUAACUUCGGGAAACCGGAGCUAAACCGGUUACUUACAGUUGGAUCCGCGCUGCAUUAGUUAGUUGGGAAGGUAACGGCUUACCAAGGCAACGAUGCAUAGCCGACCUGAAUGAGGGAUAGGCAACACUGGAACUGAAAAAGGGUCCAGACUCCUACGGGAGGCAGAAGUAGGGAAUCAACGGAAAAGAGCGAAAGCCUGACGGAGCAAAGCCGCGUGAGUAAUGAAGGUCGUCGGAUCGUAAAACGCUGUUAUUAGGGAAGCGGUACCGAAUCAGAAAGCCACGGCUAACUACGUGCCAGCCGCCGCGGUAAUUC